This is a non-coding RNA of Maylandia zebra (zebra mbuna), 1889 nucleotides long. NCBI's taxonomy places the organism in Eukaryota, Metazoa, Chordata, Actinopteri, Cichliformes, Cichlidae. The record is from RefSeq and is a predicted model, not a curated record.
UUAUAGUCGGAGCUUAUGAAUGCAGUGGUCAUAGAAGUUUGGUAAGAACACUGAGGAGAGUUUGUGAUGUUUCGUUCACCCUGACAGCUACACUGUUUAACCAGGAAGGGAUGCCACCUUUAGCUGGAGCCGAGUUGGUCCACACUCCAUUGCAGCUGUAUCGAUACCUGCUCAGGUGCUGCAGGCAGUUACCUUCCACAGCAAUGCAACAACACUAUCGACAUGCCAUAAGACAGGGUUACAACAGCCACUCAGAUGAAGACGACCCUGAGAGGACACAGAUGAUCAUCCAGAGAGCGAUUGCAGAUGCUGACUGGAUUCUUGAUAAAUAUACCAAGAAGAAAUGAGCGCGUGUCCACGGCGGUGCAUUUUGCAGGGCUGUCCUGGAGUCACACUGGUGAAGGUUCCUCAGGCUGCGUAUGUAAUGAUGUAGAAGCAGAACUGAAGGGGACGACAUACGACCGACAAGGCUUCUAGAUUAUCUUCCAUGCUGAAGAAGAAGGAGAACAUGGAAGAUGGCAGCAAGUACAGCUGCUAACAUAUCGCUGCCCGUACUUGUUAAUAGUAAAAGUCUGGUAUGGAAGUACUGAAACACACUUUACUACUUUGUUUGAGACAGCUAGCAUCAAAUCAGCUGUGUUCCUUACUAGAGCUGGGCAGUCAAAAAGGAAUCAAAACUGACACUGGGAAUCUCUAAUCCACCUGAUCUUUCCCGUGUCGGUUAUUUCAGUUUUUUUAAAUUCUGUGUUGUCACGUGACUCUGUGCCUUCUGCAGCAUCAUGGAGAAAAACAAACAAAUCAACACAUCGAGCUGAGCGCACAACUUCAAAUCUCACGUCUGUUGUUUGGACACGUUUGACUUUAGUAAAGACGACUUCAAACAAAAGGGAGAAAAACAUUUCAUCAUCCAACAACAAUACUACUAAUCUGUUGCAACGCUUGGAGGACAAUCAUGUCACCAAUUAAAAAUAUCCCACCUUUAACAGUUCGCAUAUUUACAGUACGACCUGACUGCACGGGGUUAUGGUGUGUUGUGUGUCGAAAUUUAAAGUGAAAAAUGAAUCUAGUUUGGAAAAAGGCUGGAACGUGACAAAACGUGGGACUAGUGAGUGCUACGGUCAGUGUACUGCACACAGUGGUGAUGGACACGUUUGAAAAAGCAGACCGUGUAAUAUAAUGUACUCCUAUUGAUGGUGUCAACAACAAAAUCAAUGUUAACCACCUGAAAGAAAAUCAUUCAAAGUGUACUUUAGCUGUCAGGCUGCCCUUUCAGACUUCCUGGGUUAGAUCCUAAAGGCCUGUUUCAGCAGAUUUGCAGGUCAAUGUGUAGUCGGUGGUUGGACGAAUAGAAAAGCUGCUCUCAUGUUGCAUCAGUGGAGGGUGUCCGAUCCAGGAUUGCAGGGGAAGCAAAGAUAUUUCUCUUUUCUUUUAGUAAAUGAGGAUUUUCAAGUGUUGCUAUUUAAGUACUGAAAGAAGAAAAAGAACUGACUCGAGAUCAGAUUUCAGCCAGUUUGUCACAACCAGGAAGGAGUUUAGGUGACUCCAUCCGUGGACCUACAGUAUAUAAAAGCACACGUGAACUGCCCUCUGCAGUUUUAGGCUUGUGACAUGCUUUCUUCCCUAUGUGAGGUAAAACAGUGCCAGAAUAUUUGCAUAUCACGUAAUCUUUAUUAACACAAUACUUAAUUGCACAUUGUUAAACUUUGCUCACGCAUCUCUUCUACAGCUUGGAGGAAAAGGUGAUACUUCUGUGCAACAUACAGUAUUCAAGUAUAACCAUUUUUCUCAAAUAAAUGCUGGAUAACAAGGAUACACAUACAAGAAAACAAUGAGAAUGUUUCGUAUGUACUGGCCUCACCAACCAAUGGAAUAAAACAAAAACAUCCUGA